Molecule: non-coding RNA, 3374 nt
Organism: Cherax quadricarinatus
Lineage: Eukaryota; Metazoa; Arthropoda; Malacostraca; Decapoda; Parastacidae
Source: RefSeq, a predicted model, not a curated record
CCCUGGUACCUACACCUGCUCCCACUUCUGUCAGUUCACCUGUCGCAGGUACACGUCCACUACCACUCUCACUCUCACUCGUGUUCUUCCAGCUAACCGUCCACCACUGCUGCUACCACCACCACUGCUGAUACUGCCACCACUGCUGCUACCAGCUGCUUGCUACCCCAGAGCCGUGGUUAAGAAGGGUGCGUCAGCACACUACCACGAGUAUAUCACUUGUAAGAGAGGAACCAGGAACGCCGCUUCGCUAUGAAACUCGCGGUGUUAGUGUUGGUGCUGGUGGUGUGUGUUGUGGUGCCUGGCACUGUUGCACAGUAUGGCACUGUGCCUCGCUAUCUCACCAGACAGCCAGACAGAAGAACCAGGCAGUACCUGAGUGCCAACCUGCCCGUCUACCAGCAGCAGUCCUUCCGUAUGACCCGACAGGUCACGGUGACCCGCAGUUCUCUUAUUUUCAAGGUUAAUGUCAGCACCAUGGGAGGAGCAGCCAGCUACUGUAACACUCACUACCUCAUUACAGCAAGCAUUAAUUACAUUAACUAGUUAGUGUGGGCACACGAGUAUCCUGAACCUUUCUCGUUCUAAGCAGAGUUUAGACAAGUCACAUACAGGAUGCUGGAUUGGGCUGGGUCUGCUACGUGAUGGUUAUUAAAGCGGUUGUAACCUAUUUACAAUCAGACAAGAAUAUUCUAAUCUCUAAAAUAGGGAUUAAAUUGAAUCCUCAGCGUAUAUAUGCAGAGAGAAAUAUACUUCUCGGUUUAUAUAUCCCUUGAUGGAGAGGAUAACACUGACCAUAUAUGAAUACUGGUUGAAGGAAACAAGGAAUUAGCCAUUACGAUAUCUGGUUGUUUCUGAUCAUUGGGUCUGAUGCAGUGCUUCUUCCUUCUGAAGUGGAUGUGACUUGGACGUGACUGGCUUGGGCCAGUGGGUGACUAGGACUUGCCUAGCAUGGGCCAGUAGGCAUGCCGCAGUGUUCCUUAUUUCUUAUGUUCUAGAUCUGUGUCGAGGUGAAGAUCAUGUUAAUAGUGGUUGGCAGAGACGUCAGCUGAUCAAGAAUUCAACGAAGUGUAAAAAAGUCGGUGGACUAUGAGAUGUGGGUCAGGUCCCUGGGUCGUUAAUGAAUGUCCAGGUCCUGGGGAAGAGGGGAUGAUGUUGCUGUUGUAGAGCCACUGAUAGCGUACGCCGUAUCGAACCCGGCUGUCCAGUACCCGGAAAAAAACUCGACCAAAGUGGAAGGAAGUUGACUAAGGGAAUGGUGUUGAUGAUGAGAUGUUGAUUGGUUAAAUACCAGCAGUGCUACAAUGGUAUUUGCUUAGCACACGCCCUCCUGCGUAGACGCCUAACACGCACACACGCCUCUACACACUCCCCAAAUACCUUUCCUGAAGCAUCUUUCAGGACCUCAGACUCGACCACCUCAACCUGACGGGAUCUUCUCACUAAUUAUUACGUCUGUGUUCCAGCCCAAACAUGGAACAGUCCCUUAACACCUACUGCCACUCUUUACCUAGCAGUAAAAACAGGUACUACUUAGCAGUAAAAGCAGGUACUACUUGUAGUAACAGCAGGUACUACUUAGGUGCUGGUUAACUUUUGAGAGUCGCAUCCUGGUGAAAAAUUUGUAAUGUAAAUAUGUGAAAAAUUAUAUAAUCAGUGGAAAAUGCCAUUGUGCAAAGCUCCAGACAUUCUGGAGUCCCUAAUGGGCGAAACGUCUUCACAAUAAAAUUGCAUAACCCUCACUGUGUCUUAUUUACUUGUGGUAAUAAGGUUAUUGAAGCUAAACAUUAGGUAGGUAUAAGAAUAAGUUGAAGUAUUUGAGAGAGGUGGAACUGUGGAUGUGAGAAAUAUGCUCUAUAUAUGAGCCAGCAGACAAAUCACAUAUAUAUGAGUUAGAUAUCUUUAUUCCGAUAUCUAACUGUCGCAUAUGUGUCUUACUUAUCCACUUGUCGUUAAUUUAUGGCAUUAUGAUAUUGAUAGACCAGUAGGCCUAUGACAGUGGUCCUAUCUUCUUGUCAGGUGUUGGGUAAAAGUCUGCCGUCCAAUAAGGUGUAUCAAAGGAAAGUAGAGAAAAGUGUACUGGUGUACAAAGAAGGUUGCAGCGCCGCUCUAGGUACAACGAUCCAGAAGUCAAUGCAACAGAUCAUUAGAGAACACUAGCACACAAACACACUCAGAUGUUGCAAUAACAUCACAAUACCCUUCCCCAUUAGCAGUCGAGCCUCUAUAUAAACAUUGCUAAACCAUUGCACCAGGAAUACAAAUCACUCUGCUGUCAGACAGUCGGAGAAUACACGAAUACAUACACAAAUAUAUACAAAAUAUUUGUAGCGAUCAUUUCACAAUAAUCUUGACCGUGAGGAAAAUACACAGCACAACACAUCAGGAUUAUAACAUUGACAUUAUCUUUCCUGGAACGACUCACUGCACUCCCAUAUUCACUGGGAAGUGAAUGUGGUACUUGAAGAGCAGCUGACGGAGUUUUCUCAGUGAAUGCCAAUAUUCAAUACACUAAACCUACUCACCAUACAAAACAUCCAUACUUAUUACUGCACCUAUUACAUACAUAGAACACUUAACUCUGAUAUUAACCCUCCCCUCAAACAUCUCCUUGCCAACCUCAACAGAACACAUGACCAUAACACAAGGCACAGAUCACUCUUUGAUGUUCCUCGUGUCCAUCUCACACUAUGCAAAAACUCAAUGCACAUAAGAUAAGAUAAAAUAAGAUAAGAUAAGAUUUCGUUCGGAUUUUUAACCCCGGAGGGUUAGCCACCCAGGAUAACCCAAGAAAGUCAGUGCGUCAUCGAGGACUGUCUAACUUAUUUCCAUUGGGGUCCUUAAUCUUGUCCCCCAGGAUACGACCCACACCAGUCGACUAACACCCAGGUACCUAUUUGCUGCUAGGUGAACAGGACAAUAGGUGUAAGGAAACGUGACGGAAUUUCCACCCGCCGGGAAUCGAACCCGGGCCCUCCGUGUGUGAAGCGGGAGCUUUAGCCACCGGGCCCUAAAAUCUGGAAUUCAUUACCUGUAAAUAUAAAAGAAACACUACCUGUUUAUAAAUUCAAGUCUCUUCUCAAAGAUCACUUACUCACUCAAAACCAAAUAAAUACUGAAUAACUGAGCCUUAUAAAUUGUAUAUCUUAAAUGUUUCUCACAAUUAUAUCACAUAAAUGUUAAACCUAAAACCCAAUCUAACUUUAUUAUUUUUUAAAUACACUACCUAACAGAAUACUUCAUACGACUGAAUGUACAACAAUGCAUGCAACCAUAUGACCUGUCUUUGUAAUACUCACUUGUGCUUUAUUGUUAUCUGUUUACAAUAAUGUUUUAUCACUGAUUUCAUCAUUGCUUAGUUAAUUUUAAGCCAG